GCGUUCCUGUGUGAUGGGGCCGGAGCCAGUAAACAGGCUUCCUUCUCGCUCUGCUGUAUAAGAAGAAGAAGUAGGAGAAACAAAAUAAGGAGGAGAAGAAGUAAAAUAAUUUGAGAAGGAAUAUGAAGGGGCUGAAAUCCUGGGCUUUCUGGGCAGAAGGAUCUACGAGCGGGAUCGUGGGUGAAACAUGAAGAUGAUGGUGGACAGGUGAGCUACGCAGUUCGUGGAAGAACCAGGGGUCACAUGGCCUAGAUGCUACCCUAGAUGAGAAAGAGUCCAAUGGUUAUCAACAAGUUCUGAAAGGCAAGGCCUAAGGUACUGAAAAUUAUAUUACUCAAAGCUGAAGGCAGCAAAUCUGUUCAUGUUUACACAGUUGGGAAAGUGGACUUGUGUUUUUUACAAGCAAACCAGUGACCAGCCAAUGGCAGGAGACCUUCCCCACCCCUAAAGGUGAUGCUCACCUACCGUCAUGGGUAAAAGGAAGCUCUGGCUCGAAUUCCUCAUGUAUUAUUCAUGUGUGAUGCCACCCAACGUGAUUCAGAGAAGAAAAUUCUCAGUGUGUUCACCAGAGGUGAUUACAUGAGAAUAAAGCACGGCCUGAUUUUUUUUCUUGUUCACAGGAAAAAAAAAAGAAAAGAA
Molecule: long non-coding RNA, 639 nt
Filed under: Homo sapiens (human)
Lineage: Eukaryota; Metazoa; Chordata; Mammalia; Primates; Hominidae
Description: HSALNT0378301
Source: RNAcentral